Molecule: ribosomal RNA, 339 nt
Filed under: uncultured eukaryote
Lineage: Eukaryota
Description: partial 18S ribosomal RNA
Rfam family: Eukaryotic small subunit ribosomal RNA
Source: RNAcentral
CCCUUAGAUGUUCUGGGCUGCACGCGCGCUACACUGAUGCGCUCAACGAGUUUACGACCUUGCUUGGAAAGGUUGGGUAAUCUUCUUAAAACGCAUCGUGAUGGGGAUAGAUUAUUGCAAUUAUUAAUCUUCAACGAGGAAUUCCUAGUAAGCGCGAGUCAUCAGCUCGCGUUGAUUACGUCCCUGCCCUUUGUACACACCGCCCGUCGCUACUACCGAUUGGAUGGUUUAGUGAGACCCUCGGAUCGGUCCCGACUCGGGGUGGGCUUCUGCCCCGGUCGUGGUUUCGCCGAGAAGACGGUCAAACUUGACUAUCUAGAGGAAGUAAAAGUCGUAACA